UGACAGGGUCCUUCGUCACUCUCA
RNAcentral lists this non-coding RNA (24 nucleotides) under Mus musculus (house mouse). Lineage: Eukaryota; Metazoa; Chordata; Mammalia; Rodentia; Muridae. RNAcentral also lists the same sequence under 1 other name. The record is from RNAcentral.